UGUGGUUUUCACAAGUGUUGUUUUGAG
Molecule: non-coding RNA, 27 nt
Filed under: Mus musculus (house mouse)
Lineage: Eukaryota; Metazoa; Chordata; Mammalia; Rodentia; Muridae
Source: RNAcentral